GAUCAUGGCUCAGAACGAACGCUGGCGGCGUGGAUAAGACAUGCAAGUCGAACGAGAGAAUUGCUAGCUUGCUAAUAAUUCUCUAGUGGCGCACGGGUGAGUAACACGUGAGUAACCUGCCCCCGAGAGCGGGAUAGCCCUGGGAAACUGGGAUUAAUACCGCAUAGUAUCGAAAGAUUAAAGCAGCAAUGCGCUUGGGGAUGGGCUCGCGGCCUAUUAGUUAGUUGGUAG
RNAcentral lists this ribosomal RNA (231 nucleotides) under uncultured bacterium. RNAcentral's name for it is "partial 16S ribosomal RNA". It matches the Rfam family "Bacterial small subunit ribosomal RNA", at positions 15 to 255 of the family's 1533-position model. The record is from RNAcentral.